Molecule: long non-coding RNA, 1111 nt
Organism: Gasterosteus aculeatus aculeatus (three-spined stickleback)
Lineage: Eukaryota; Metazoa; Chordata; Actinopteri; Perciformes; Gasterosteidae
Source: Ensembl
CCCAGCUCUCUAACGGAAGGACUCUGAAACGCUUCUUUAUGAUUCCAAGAGACUUUGCAGAGGAACAAGAGGACGCCCUCGGUGAACCUGGAGGCUUUUACACAGCGCUUUAAGUGCGUUGGAGGUUUUAUAUUUCGGUUUGUUGGCCACUCAAAGUCUGCUCAACAGACCCUUGUGUCCAAAUGUUGCCUUUAGUCGUUUUGUACUGGAGUGUGGGUCACCGAGGGAGGCGACUCGAGACCCGCAGACCUCUCUGCUCUCCCAUUUCCCUUUUAACUUAACCGCUGGACUUUAUACCGCAGCUGGGAAAAGAGCAGCUGUGGGGAUGUGCAGAUGUUGUGGGACAUUCUUUAUUAUAUAUGACUGGAUCAUCGGGGAAACGCGCUUCACUUUCUAAUGCACAACCCCUGUUUAAACAAAGCUCACUUUUGUUGUGAAUAUAUGCUUUAUGUAUCUGGUUACGGGGAGUGAAAUAGUGUGUAAAUAUGUAACACUUGGUCACACACUGUUUGAGCAGUCAGAAGAGAAACUAAUCAAUCAUGGUCAAUAUACUGGUCACUAAAACCUACGGAUGGAAAGGAUUCUUUUUCUAAAAGUUAUAAAUGUAUUAAAGUACUAUGAACAGGAAUUAAAGCUGCACUUUUUGGGGGGGCGACGACACCCAAUUUACAAAAAACUUUUGUACUGCUUUGAGCUGUGCACAAUGCAGAAGGAAAGCCACGAUGAGUCGGUUCUGUGCCACGCGGCGUCCUGAUGUGACCACCGUUCCGGGAGCAGUAACCCGCUGCAGAACCAGACGUUUUGUUUGCUCUCAUGUACAAGCAACUGCCCCCAACUUACUACAAAUCUUCCUUCCAGUUGAUCAAAAUAAUCUGUCCAAAUCCAAAAGAUUUCUUUUAAAAGUAUCAAACCCAAACAACAUAUGAGAAAGUUAAACCAGCACCAAAGCUGACGGCUUCAUUUCUAUUUGUCAGCCUGAACAUCGUUUCUCGCCGCCUCAGCUUUGUUUUACUUUACUUUUUUGCAGUAACAGUUUGAGUUCUCAAAUUUGUAUUACAAUGAUCUUGUGCAUGUCCAUUAUUUAUACUGUUGUGACAAUGAUGGUACCCAG